GGUUUCCCGCCUUCAGAGAAGCCAGAGCCCACGCCUGCCACACGCCACCGGGGUCGAGGCCGCUCUUUGUCGACACCUAGAAACGCAGCCAAACAACCAGAGGCCUCAUAACGGCUGGUAGUAUUCCGCCUCCAGCAGCUGAUUGCGCAGACGUGUGACGGCGGUCGUCUCCAGGAUGUCAUCCAGAGAAGGAAUGUAUUUGUAAUUGGCCGUCACCAAAAUCUUCAGCACGUCUACUUUGCUGAUGUAACUGUGGAGAUGAAGAAUAAAGAAGCAAAACGUUAAAACAGACAUUCAUAGACACAGUGAUGGGUGAAAUGACGAUACAGCUUCGGGGAAAAAACACUGAUCUGGUUCACAAGGUGGAAUUUAUUGUGAUAUUUCUGUAAUCUACACAGAAUCAAGCUCCUCUG
Molecule: long non-coding RNA, 413 nt
Organism: Fundulus heteroclitus (mummichog)
Lineage: Eukaryota; Metazoa; Chordata; Actinopteri; Cyprinodontiformes; Fundulidae
Exons: 3
Source: RefSeq, a predicted model, not a curated record